GAUCGAUGUGGUGCUCCGGAGUUCUCUUCGGGCCAGGGCCUAAGCCGCGCCAGGCGAGGGACGGACAUUCAUGGCGAAUGGCGGCCGUUCUUCUCGUUCUGCCAGCGGGCCCCUCGUCUCUCCACCCCAUCCGUCUGCCGGUGGUGUGUGGAAGGCAGGGGUGCGGCUCUCCGGCCCGAGCGCUGCCCCGCGCGCACUUUUCUCAAGUGGUUCGCGUGGUCCUUGUGGAUGUGUGAGGCGCCCGGUUGUGCCCUCACGUGUUUCACUUUGGUCG
This 274-nucleotide ribosomal RNA is filed under the name Mus musculus (house mouse). RNAcentral describes it as "partial ribosomal RNA". The record is from RNAcentral. Lineage: Eukaryota; Metazoa; Chordata; Mammalia; Rodentia; Muridae.